GGCGGACCGCGGAGGUGAGCGCGGCUGCAGGCUGCGGUCGUAGUGGACUAAUUUUACAGGCGAAGUUAAGUGACUUACCCAAAACCUCACAGCUAAUAAACGGCAGAGCCGGCACCCAGCUGUACUGGCUUCCAAUUCUGUUAGCUUACCAGCGCAUCACAUUAUCUCCAUAAAUCCCCAUGAUUCAACUAAUAUUAGACGCCCCACAGAGUCUCGCUACUCAAAACGUGGUCAGUGGCCCAGCAGCACUGACAUGAGGAUGUUAGUUAGAAACUCAGAAUCUCAGGCUCCACCCCAGACCUGCUGAACCAGCAUCUUCAACUUAACAAGAACCCGAAGAGAUUUGUGUCACAUCAAAAAGUUUGAGAAGCUCUGAUCUAGGGCUGGAAGGAGUGUUGCUCAACAAUAUCCAAAACCACAGAGGUUGAAAAGCACAAGGAAAGAAGGUAUGUUUGCACUUUGUGAUUAGGUAGUAGGGUCUUUGAGACCACAUUGUUCUUAUUGAAAGCCUGGGAAGAAAGAUCCCCUUUCUGGUCAAGUUUAGUCUAGGGAUCCAUCCCAUCUUCCCCAGUUCCCACGUGUAUGGGACAUGUCGAGAUAAGUAGAUAGAUUGGACAGUGGGAGAAAGUAGUUCUCUUCCAGUUGCUUCUAUUUUCUCAGCAAAGUGAGGAGCAAGAUCAUUUUGGCAGACUGCUAAUUGUCCAUCACAAUUUAGUCUCCCUUUCUCCCUGAAAACACAGACUGCUUUUCUCAGCCUCUCUUUCAGUUGCAUAUGGUCAAGUAUUAAGUUAUAGAACGUGAGCAGAUGUUAUGUCUGCCACUGUCAGGCCAAGGCGUUUACUUUGAGAGUACUUGUGCCUCUUUCAUGCAUUUUCCUUUCUGCCAGCUGGACCCUGGACACGGUGACUCUGAUUCAAUUAUGCAGAUGACCACAAACCUCUGGGGUUGGCAGAGCCACAAGAAAGAAGGUGCCUGGAUGAAGGAGAGCUACCCACUGACCUGGACACCCAAUUAUAGGAUAGACAGUGAAGUGCAACUACAGCCCGCAAAUGAAAAUGAAUAAUAUUAAUCCAGCCCCUCAAGGCAGUCAUCUGUCUUAGAGCUAUUGGAAUCCUGGAUCAUUGUGGGAAAUGAAAGGAACUGGUUUUUAGCAAGGAGACCAAGAAACUCUACUCCCUAGGGGCUAGCAAUGAGAGAAAGGAAGCCUUAAGUCUUUGAGCACAGGGUGACAGUUUGGGUCCUAUGUGAGAUGAUCAAAUCCACAGCAACAGAGGAAAGGACAAAAGGAAAAGGUCUGUAGCAGCACUACAUCAGAAAAAAAUGGAUUCAGCAAGGAAGUGGGUGACUCUGAGUAAGCAUCCAUGUCAGGAUGGUUUUGCUACAGCCCCCAACAAAACAUUAAUUAGUUUAAGAAACUCAACUUCGGUUUACAAGUGUUUUGGAAAAGUAACAAAGAACAACAUAAGUAACAAAAUAAUUCCUCAGGUCAUUACAAUGGAUGUUUCCUAUAACUGAAAAAUAUGGUUAAAAAGUACAAACUACAUUUGGUGUGCAAACUGUUUAGUUCUUAAUUCCAAACUAAAUUGUACAUUAUAUAGUAAAAUUUUGACCAGAAAAACUUGGAGAUUUUAGUAAAAAUUUCAUUGACAUAUUUACAGCCCCAGUGUAGUUUGGCCGGUGUGCAAAGCCUGACUAAGGAGGUUAUAGAAAAAAAUAUCAGACUUAAGCCCAUCAAAUCAUUAAAGAUGCUUUGGCAAGACUUCAAGCUUUACAGACAUACUCCAUGUGACCAGAGAUGUCAUAACCAGUGUUCUUUCUCUUGAAAUGUUAGAAUGCUUUAGUUUUAUUCUAUAAUUUCCGUGUUCCAUGGAACAGCAUUCAUUUCUCCCAGUUUUAGUAACAUAAUGAGAGAUAUAUUGAGUGUAUAGAGCAGGAAAGACAUGAAAACUUAUAUUGCAUAAUAUUAGCAAACAUAAAAGAUAGCAUUAUAAAUUUUUAAAAAUCCAAAAAAAUUCCAGAAACAGAACAGUGAGCAUGUUUAAAAAGUCAGGACUGACCGUUUCUGUGAGUUCUGAGGACUGUAAAUGAGCCUCAAUCCAUAAAGCUGAGAGGUUGUCUUAGCCCACAUAUGCAGCAGGUGACUCCCUCUGACAAAAGCAAGAUUUAGCUGGAUCUUUUAAAAAAAAAA
RNAcentral lists this long non-coding RNA (2188 nucleotides) under Homo sapiens (human). RNAcentral's name for it is "HSALNT0353135". Lineage: Eukaryota; Metazoa; Chordata; Mammalia; Primates; Hominidae. The record is from RNAcentral.